GCACUGCUGAGGAGUCCCACAUAGGGACGAGACGGCCUUCCAGUGC
This 46-nucleotide non-coding RNA is filed under the name Schistosoma mansoni. The record is from RNAcentral. Lineage: Eukaryota; Metazoa; Platyhelminthes; Trematoda; Strigeidida; Schistosomatidae.